RNAcentral lists this ribosomal RNA (1509 nucleotides) under Helicobacter pylori. Its description in RNAcentral is "bacterial SSU rRNA". It matches the Rfam family "Bacterial small subunit ribosomal RNA". Lineage: Bacteria; Pseudomonadati; Campylobacterota; Epsilonproteobacteria; Campylobacterales; Helicobacteraceae. The record is from RNAcentral.
UUUUAUGGAGAGUUUGAUCCUGGCUCAGAGUGAACGCUGGCGGCGUGCCUAAUACAUGCAAGUCGAACGAUGAAGCUUCUAGCUUGCUAGAAGUGGAUUAGUGGCGCACGGGUGAGUAACGCAUAGGUCAUGUGCCUCUUAGUUUGGGAUAGCCAUUGGAAACGAUGAUUAAUACCAGAUACUCCCUACGGGGGAAAGAUUUAUCGCUAAGAGAUCAGCCUAUGUCCUAUCAGCUUGUUGGUAAGGUAAUGGCUUACCAAGGCUAUGACGGGUAUCCGGCCUGAGAGGGUGAACGGACACACUGGAACUGAGACACGGUCCAGACUCCUACGGGAGGCAGCAGUAGGGAAUAUUGCUCAAUGGGGGAAACCCUGAAGCAGCAACGCCGCGUGGAGGAUGAAGGUUUUAGGAUUGUAAACUCCUUUUGUUAGAGAAGAUAAUGACGGUAUCUAACGAAUAAGCACCGGCUAACUCCGUGCCAGCAGCCGCGGUAAUACGGAGGGUGCAAGCGUUACUCGGAAUCACUGGGCGUAAAGAGCGCGUAGGCGGGAUAGUCAGUCAGGUGUGAAAUCCUAUGGCUUAACCAUAGAACUGCAUUUGAAACUACUAUUCUAGAGUGUGGGAGAGGUAGGUGGAAUUCUUGGUGUAGGGGUAAAAUCCGUAGAGAUCAAGAGGAAUACUCAUUGCGAAGGCGACCUGCUGGAACAUUACUGACGCUGAUUGCGCGAAAGCGUGGGGAGCAAACAGGAUUAGAUACCCUGGUAGUCCACGCCCUAAACGAUGGAUGCUAGUUGUUGGAGGGCUUAGUCUCUCCAGUAAUGCAGCUAACGCAUUAAGCAUCCCGCCUGGGGAGUACGGUCGCAAGAUUAAAACUCAAAGGAAUAGACGGGGACCCGCACAAGCGGUGGAGCAUGUGGUUUAAUUCGAAGAUACACGAAGAACCUUACCUAGGCUUGACAUUGAGAGAAUCCGCUAGAAAUAGUGGAGUGUCUGGCUUGCCAGACCUUGAAAACAGGUGCUGCACGGCUGUCGUCAGCUCGUGUCGUGAGAUGUUGGGUUAAGUCCCGCAACGAGCGCAACCCCCUUUCUUAGUUGCUAACAGGUCAUGCUGAGAACUCUAAGGAUACUGCCUCCGUAAGGAGGAGGAAGGUGGGGACGACGUCAAGUCAUCAUGGCCCUUACGCCUAGGGCUACACACGUGCUACAAUGGGGUGCACAAAGAGAAGCAAUACUGCGAAGUGGAGCCAAUCUUCAAAACGCCUCUCAGUUCGGAUUGUAGGCUGCAACUCGCCUGCAUGAAGCUGGAAUCGCUAGUAAUCGCAAAUCAGCCAUGUUGCGGUGAAUACGUUCCCGGGUCUUGUACUCACCGCCCGUCACACCAUGGGAGUUGUGUUUGCCUUAAGUCAGGAUGCUAAAUUGGCUACUGCCCACGGCACACACAGCGACUGGGGUGAAGUCGUAACAAGGUAACCGUAGGUGAACCUGCGGUUGGAUCACCUCCUUUCUAGA